RNAcentral lists this ribosomal RNA (650 nucleotides) under Salmonella enterica. RNAcentral's name for it is "partial 23S ribosomal RNA". It matches the Rfam family "Bacterial large subunit ribosomal RNA", at positions 1 to 685 of the family's 2925-position model. Lineage: Bacteria; Pseudomonadati; Pseudomonadota; Gammaproteobacteria; Enterobacterales; Enterobacteriaceae. The record is from RNAcentral.
GGGUUGUGAGGUUAAGCGACUAAGCGUACACGGUGGAUGCCCUGGCAGUCAGAGGCGAUGAAGGGCGUGCUAAUCUGCGAUAAGCGCCGGUAAGGUGAUAUGAACCGUUAUAACCGGCGAUACCCGAAUGGGGAAACCCAGUGUGACUCGUCACACUAUCAUUAACUGAAUCCAUAGGUUAAUGAGGCGAACCGGGGGAACUGAAACAUCUAAGUACCCCGAGGAAAAGAAAUCAACCGAGAUUCCCCCAGUAGCGGCGAGCGAACGGGGAGGAGCCCAGAGCCUGAAUCAGCAUGUGUGUUAGUGGAAGCGUCUGGAAAGGCGCGCGAUACAGGGUGACAGCCCCGUACACAAAAGCGCAUGUGCUGUGAGCUCGAUGAGUAGGGCGGGACACGUGGUAUCCUGUCUGAAUAUGGGGGGACCAUCCUCCAAGGCUAAAUACUCCUGACUGACCGAUAGUGAACCAGUACCGUGAGGGAAAGGCGAAAAGAACCCCGGCGAGGGGAGUGAAAAAGAACCUGAAACCGUGUACGUACAAGCAGUGGGAGCACCCUUUGGGUGUGACUGCGUACCUUUUGUAUAAUGGGUCAGCGACUUAUAUUCUGUAGCAAGGUUAACCGAAUAGGGGAGCCGGAGGGAAACCGAGUCUU